AUACGUAGGGGGCGAGCGUUGUCCGGAAUGAUUGGGCGUAAAGGGCGCGUAGGCGGCCCGGUAAGUCUGGAGUGAAAGUCCUGUUUUUAAGAUGGGAAUUGCUUUGGAUACUGUCGGGCUUGAGUGCAGGAGAGGUAAGUGGAAUUCCCAGUGUAGCGGUGAAAUGCGUAGAGAUUGGGAGGAACACCAGUGGCGAAGGCGACUUACUGGACUGUAACUGACGCUGAGGCGCGAAAGUGUGGGGAGCAAACAGGAUUAGAUACCCUGGUAGUCCACGCUGUAAACGAUGAAUACUAGGUGUGCGGGGACUGACCCCCUGCGUGCCGCAGCUAACGCAAUAAGUAUUCCACCUGGGGAGUACGAUCGCAAGGUUGAAACUCAAAUGAAUUGACGGGG
This 396-nucleotide ribosomal RNA is filed under the name uncultured bacterium. RNAcentral's name for it is "partial 16S ribosomal RNA". It matches the Rfam family "Bacterial small subunit ribosomal RNA", at positions 523 to 918 of the family's 1533-position model. The record is from RNAcentral.